RNA transcript from Cornus florida, 5906 nucleotides. RefSeq lists it as uncharacterized. NCBI's taxonomy places the organism in Eukaryota, Viridiplantae, Streptophyta, Magnoliopsida, Cornales, Cornaceae. The record is from RefSeq and is a predicted model, not a curated record. The transcript is spliced from 6 exons.
CUUAUUAUGUGAUAUUUAUAAAUUUUAUGCAUAAAUAUUAUAAUAUCUAAUGGGCCCCGGGUAUUAUUAUGAAAAUAAAGAGUAUAAGAAAAAAAAAAAAAAAAAAAACCUUAGGGGCAUUAUAUAAUAUUUUACAAAAUUAAUUUUAGGGGUAUUAUAUAAUACUUUAUGAAAUUUAGGGGGUAUUAUGUGAUAUUUUAUAAAUACAAUGGGCUCGGGGCACCUAUGCUUGCUCCGCCCCCUGGACCCAAUGCUGCCGAUCAAUUAAUCAAUCUCUCACCUCUUCUUUGAAAUAUCCUGUGUGCUCAUAUCAAUGUAGGAGAGACUGGGAGGAGUAUUCGAUUUCGCUUCACUUUUUCCAAUAAAAAAAUAUUUCCUUUUUAGGGUUUUUCAUUACAGUAACAUCUUCAAUGGGUGAAUGGAAGAUGAAAAAGAUGUCUACGCCAGCUCUGUUUGAACAAGCUCGAAAGGUUCAUUUAAUGGCGUCCCAGUCUGGCAUUGAUCAGGCGUAGAAAUAUGAAAUGCCACCUAACAACACUAGUGUUACAGAAGAAAACCAGGAUGGAAUUAUGGAAAACCUUGCUUUUGGCAAAAUGAUUCUUAUGCCCUUGUGUUGUAUUCUGAUUCUGCUUACUGAUUUUGUGGGAGAAAGGCUUGCUGAUAAACAACGAAUUGUUACAUUACUCAAACGCCGUGAGGGAUACUUUGUCUGUGAUGGUGGCUGCACCUUUGUUAGCAUUUGUUCAGUAGUAAUUCAGACUUACCUACAUUGACAUCAUGCUGUAUCUUCUGAUUUGGGACAGUGUCAAUCGUAACCUCAGGCUUAAUAUUCUGCAAUAAAAUAAAUUUAAUUAAUUAAUAUAUUGCAAGACCAUCACAACAAUAUGAAAGGAGAUUGGAAACUUGAGGGUCAUUUUGAUGUACAUAUUGGUUUAUGGUUGGAUGCAGCCAACCAGUAGUGAUUGCUUUUAUGGUUGCUAUGGCUUCCAAUCCUCCUGCAGCUCCUAGAACAUGCCCAGUCAUUGACUGAAAAUUUUAACAUGUUACUGAUAUUGGUAUACAAAAUGAAGAUUUAACUCUUAUUUGAUUAGUUUAAAUAAGCAAUAUGCAUCUAUCAGUUGUUGGUGAUCUUUUUAAAUGACUUGCAUUCAGGAUUAGGCAUUGAUUUUCUCAUUCGAUUAUCCUGUUCACAAGUGGAAUCUUAGGGUCCGUUUGGUUAGCAUGAAGCAGCAAGAAAGGAAAGGAAAGAGAAAAAAUUUAAAUGUUUUAGUAGUUUGGUUAGAUAGAAAGUGAAAUUUUUGGGGAAUGUAAAUUUCCCGCAUCUGAUAAUUUUCCUCAAAUUUUUUCUAGCAUGAAACACAUGAAAAUCUACUUUCCCGCAAAAGUUGUGCACUAUAUUUAUUGCUUUUCUUAUUAUGCCCAUAUCAGUUGUCUAAACUAGACAGACUUCAUUGAAAAGGUAAAGUUUCCUUCUUCUGUAAAUUACUUAAUUUGUCUAUUACUAAUUUAAUUGUUUGUAAUUUUAUGUGUGUCUGUAAAAUUAAUUUAAUUUUUCCUUCCAUUAUUAAAUUAUUAUUUUUCAUUAUUUUUCGAUGAUGGCUGCAAUUGCCCAAUUUUGCACCGUCAGUGAACCUUAAACAUGUGAAACGGGAUACCAUUAUCUCAUAAACCAUGUCAUCUCAAGACAACAUACAAUAUUACAUACAUAUAUGUAUAUAUUAGCUAGAGUCCUGCCUUGUUCCACUCAUUGAGAUACACCCAAUGACUCAAGAUUUUGUUAACAAUAAAACAGAGUUGGCAUAAUUUCUUCGUAGUAAUAAUAAUCAAUAUUUUUUUCAUAUACACAAGUUAAAUUAGUCAAUUAUAUUGGUACUUACUCCACUUUCAAAGUGUAAAAAGUCGAGGGUUCUAGUCCUCGUAAAAAAAUGCAAAAAAUUAUACAGUACAUGAUAUCACAUAUUAUUCUAUUUCAUAUUUCACUAUUUGCUUACUAAAAUAAAUAAUUAAGUAUAAAGAAUAUUCAUCUAACUCAAAUUUAUUUAUUUUUUUACUAUUUAUAAUUAUAAGGGUAUUUUUGGUAAGUAAAAUCAUUUUCUUUUCUUUUUCAUGCUAUCCAAACUAACAAUAAUAUUUUCUCACAACUUUCUUCAAAAAAAUUCUUGCUAACCAAAUGCACGAUGGAAACUUGAUUUUCCUUUCUUUCACUUCACUUUCUUUCACUUUCACUUUCCAUUAAAUUUCCCGUCUAACCAAAUGAACCCUUAAGAUCAUUUUGAUGGAUGCACUAUUAUAAUUAGGUUUCAUAAUCUUGCCUUUGUUGCAUUCAUCUUCAUUUUAGUUGUGUCCCUGAAAGCGUUUUUGAUGGCAUUGAGCUCAGCUAAAUCUCCCAUGCGCGUGGAUGCUGUGUGAGCAUUCACGUAAUUCACCUGCAAUUCAUCAAUAUAAGCUUUUACACUAGAGCUGAAAAUGUUUGUAAUGUUAAUCAAAGAAGGAUGCAUUUAUUUGGGGCCCGUUUACUAACGCUUUUACUUUCUUAUUUUUACUUUCUUCAAAAGUAAAAUUAUAAUUUUCAUUUCUGAAUCUAAAAUAUAAAGUAGAAUUAUGUUUACUAAUUUGUCAUCCUUUCAAUAUUUUCAAAGCAAGAAAUUAAAAAGUAAGUUCAUAAUUAUAAUUUUGAUUUUGUUUUCUAAAUUGACAAUCAAUGUUAUAUACUAUCUAUAUGUAUAUAUUUAUAUAUAUAUAGCUCUGUGGGAAGCUCCUGAAAUCAAAGGGCAUCGCAAGACCCAGAUCAUUUCUUCUGUGAAAUCAAAGGGCAUCACCACCAACAUCGCCAAUUGUAUUUAAUACACACCACCAAUUGUUUCACAAACCCAAAACCAAACACCAAACAAUGAAGAACCCUUCCCUCUCUUCAUUUCUUCUUCUCUUUUCUCUCCAAUUCUUUUCUUGUGCUUUAUCAGAUUCAAUCUACGACAGUUUCCGUCAAUGCCUCUCCAAGAACUCACCAUCAGACCCAAUUUCCGCCAGCACUCUCUACAGCCCAUCAAUCUUACAUAAACCCUCACUCAUCAUCACCCCUCUCCGCGAAUCCCAUGUCAGCCCCGUCCUGCUUUGCGCCAAAAUUCUGGGGAGCUUGCAACUUCAAGAUUCUGGUCAUUUGUGACUUACUCUCUCUUAAUCAAUUCCUUUAACUUAUUUCUUUUUAUCGGGAGUGUUUGUAGAGAGACAGAGGAGAGAGAAGCGAUGAUGGUGGUGGUUGUCGGCAAUGGUGAUGGUGGCGGUGGUUGUCGACGGCGAGGAGGUGGCAGUGGCAAUGACCGUGGUGGGGAGGAGAUGGGCGAUGGUGCUACAGUAGAGAAAGUGAUUUCUACAAACAGUGUAGAAAAUGUAGAAAGUGAGGAUUUCUCACUUUCUCCUCUCUUCACAAAAUUAGAAAGUACUUUCUUAAAACAAAAAAGUGAAAGUAUUUUAUUAAACACGAUUUUUACUUUUGAUUCUCAAUUUUAGGAAUUGACAGUAGAAAUCAGGAAUCAUUCCUGUUAGUAAAUAGGCCCUUGGUAAUGUGAUGUCACUUUACUCAUUGUGUCUUCAUAUUCAGGUAGCAUAGAAACCAGUGUUGUCAAAGGCAUGCUUAGGCUCCUGCCUAGGCUCAAGGCUCAUACAAGCGCAACACUUGCGCCUGUUGUGUGCUCAGGUCUGCUCCUAGGCUCCAAAGGACCACUAGCGCCGUGGGCUUUUGAUAACACUGAUAGAAACAGAACUGGACAUAACGAGAUGAACACAGCAAUUUUUUGAUUUGCUUGCAUUCUGGGGUGAUUUCUCUACAAUUUUGUGGCACCGUAGCUGGCCAUCUUUGAUCAAAACUUGGGGAAAUCUUUGUAUUGUCAAUUUUGGUGAACAAUCAAUUAUCAGUCUGAAUAUGCAUAUCAAAGGGUGAAAAGGAGCUUUCAAACCUCUCCUGGGGAGACUCCAGCAUUUUCCAAGCUCUUGGUUAUACAACCUAUAACUCCAAGUCCGUCAGAACAUGGCUCAGUCAGGUGCUGAGCAUCACAUGUUAUGGCUCCUCCUAGGUACUCUGCUAUUAUUUUUGCUCCUCGUUUUGUUGCAUGCUCCAAGCUCUCCAUAACCUUCUCUCAGUGCACAAACUUUAGUAUACCAUGUAUUGAAUUCCAAAUAGGAAGUAAAAGCAACAUAUAUGUAUGUUAAAUAUGCAUAUAUGUUUGUAUGUUUAUAGAUAUAUAUAUAUAUAUAUUUAAGAAGAGUGUACAUUCCUCUCUGCUAUUCGACAUUUAUGUAUACUCUGAAUCGUGAGCAUGCUAAAGAAUAAAUUCACUGCUGCAUUGGGCACUGUAUGGCUACUAACGUUGGUAGAUAUACAUGUGUUUAUAAGCAAGUAUCGAUGAGUUUGGGAGGACAGUAAACAAUUUUAGGAACUAGAAGGCGUCAAAUGUAUGAUUCAUUACCAGCACACUGGCGCCUUCACUCAAGACAAAACCAUCACGAUCUUUAUCCCAUGGCCUCGAAGCUUUCUCUGGUUCAUCGUUUCUCUUUGACAAAGCCCUACAAGCCGAAAAUCCACAGAUACUAGUAGGAAUAACUCCUGCUUCACUUCCACCAGGGAUCAUAAUUUCUGCUUCACCCCUUCUAAUGUGAUUUGCCUUGGCAUAGAAACAAUAAUUUGCAGUUGCACAAGCUGCUGAAAUGGAAGUAUGGUGCUAAAAUUUUACUGUAUUCUUCCUGGAGAAAGGCAUUUACUGAUUUGCAUAACGAUGUACACCUCCUGAGCCUGAACCCGUCACUACUCCAAUGGUUGCCUCGUGCAUUGUUGAAUGAAGUUGAUUUUUUCGUUGCAAAAGAUUUGAUGAGCUGAUAUAUUAUUGAUGGACAUCCAAGUUACGUAUGUUUUUGAGGACUGCAGGGCCGAGGUUGGCAUCUACGAUAGCUUUCUUUGCAGCCACAAUGCUAUAUCUCCAGUAGUCAUCGAAAGAUUGAUCAGACGCGCUCUUUAAGUAGCACUCUGAAGAGAAGUGCCGAAUCUGACCUGCAAUUCUAACAGGGAAGUCUAGAGUAUCGAACUUGUUGAUUAAACUGAUGCCGCUUUCUCCCUUGAGGAGCACGUUGUAAACGACAUUGCCAAAUACUGAAAUGAGAACCAUUCCUGUUAUGACAAUCCGUUUCUUUGGAUCUUUCUGUCGUAUUGGAGCUGAGGAGGUAGGAGAAGCCAUAGCCCUGAUUCGUCCUCAUCUUCUAUCUGAGGAUGAGAAACCACCCAUUGUAGGUUAGUAAAUAUUUGAAGAUGGUGACAUCCACUGCCGUGACAACUUAACUGGCAGAAUAUAUAUAUAUAUAUAUAUAUAUUUAUUUAUAAGUAACAUUAACGGGCAGAAUAAAGUCCUAUCACACACAAUACUAGGUUUAUAUUAUAACCUACUAACAGCUUAUAUCACAAGCACAGCGAAACAGUGAGAAGGGCUAACUGCAUUGAUGUUGAAGUCAGGAAUGCAGAAGGUGAGUGAGAUUACUCAUUUGAAAGGCAAGCCAACUAGAUAUUCUUGGAUGAAGCCAUUGGGUUGUUUUCCACUGAUCUGAGGCCAUCGUAGUGAAGCAGUGUAGUAUCUUCAUUCUCAACGCCAAAUAUGAAGAAAAGGUAUUAGCAAUGCCUGCCAUGUCCUUUGUAGAGGCUUCUUUCCUUUUAGAGCUCUUUCAAAGUUGAUCUCUAUAUAAAUAAGGAAGUGUAAUAAAAUCCUUAGGUGGGGUAGGAGAUUGCUUUUAAUAUACUAUUUUUGUUGGCUACUGGAAUUUUAUUAACAGUGCAAUAUUCAAUAUUAAUUCUAUCAUUUUGAUUGCUCAUGUGAGUGAGGAUUUUUAGUAUUAACUUGUACUUCAACUAGAUGUUGAUUUAGUUA